UAUUCAUUGAUAUUAAGGGUGCUACAGUCGUUAGCGAUCCGUUAUCCUCGCAAGAAUUUGCCCGGUAGCGUAUAAGCAAAACACAAAUCUAUCCAUGCAAGCAUUUACCGCUGGUGAACCGGCGGUUUUUUUUGCCUGCCAUCCAGACAAAAGCGGCCCCUUGCGCAACGAUGCAGCAAGGGGCCGGCUCUGCGAGGGAUUAUCUCCGUUCAUUAAUCA
Molecule: small RNA, 219 nt
Organism: Salmonella enterica subsp. arizonae
Lineage: Bacteria; Pseudomonadati; Pseudomonadota; Gammaproteobacteria; Enterobacterales; Enterobacteriaceae
Rfam family: STnc560 Hfq binding RNA
Source: Rfam